RNAcentral lists this non-coding RNA (124 nucleotides) under Corethron hystrix. Lineage: Eukaryota; Bacillariophyta; Corethrophyceae; Corethrales; Corethraceae. The record is from RNAcentral.
UGUUUUCUGUCGUUGCGGCUCUUUUUUUCCUUGUUUUUUCCUUUGUUCCUCUCCCCAAAUUCUCCACGAUCACUUCGUAAACACCAAAAUGGUCAACAGGGCAUCCGUUUGAAAAAAUAGAACG